This 518-nucleotide long non-coding RNA is filed under the name Cricetulus griseus (Chinese hamster). RNAcentral's name for it is "lncRNA (ENSCGRG00015033876.1)". Lineage: Eukaryota; Metazoa; Chordata; Mammalia; Rodentia; Cricetidae. The record is from RNAcentral.
ACUUAGAAUUCCAUAAAAGCUUAAUGUACUUACGGUAGCAGUAAAGAAAAUGCCCCCAAAGGGAGUCGCACAAUUAGGAGGUGUGGCCUUCUUGGAGUAGGUUUGAUCUUGUUGGAGGAAGUGUGUUGCUAUGGAGGUGGGCUUUGAGAUCUCAUUUAUGCUCAGGUCACACCCACUGAGAAAGAUCACUAGUCAAGAUGUAAGAACUCUCAGCUCUUUCUCUAACACCAUGCCUGCCUGCAUGCUGCCAUGCUUCCUACCAUGAUGAUAAUGGACUAAACUUCUGAACUCCAAAGGACCGCUCCAGCCAAAGGGCCACACCAGCUAUUCACAGAGAUGGGGAUGAGGCGACAUCCCCAAUGCAAGAUCUGGCUCUCCAUGCUGUAGACAGAGGUACUUCAUUAGAGAUCUUUUGCUGCUCCUUGGGAAAUCUGAAGCUUCUUAGAAAGUGAGAAAUUUCAUGAAAAGAGGAAAGAAGACACCACAUAGACCAGACAAGUCCUCAGUGGGAGGCAACA